This 301-nucleotide ribosomal RNA is filed under the name uncultured bacterium. RNAcentral's name for it is "partial 16S ribosomal RNA". It matches the Rfam family "Bacterial small subunit ribosomal RNA", at positions 509 to 807 of the family's 1533-position model. The record is from RNAcentral.
CAGUCGCCGCGGUAAUACGAAGGGGGCUAGCGUUGUUCGGAUUAACUGGGCGUAAAGGGCGCGUAGGCGGGUUUUUAAGUCAGAGGUGAAAUCCCAAGGCUCAACCUUGGAACUGCCUUUGAUACUGGAAAUCUUGAGUCCGGGAGAGGUGAGUGGAACUGCGAGUGUAGAGGUGAAAUUCGUAGAUAUUCGCAAGAACACCAGUGGCGAAGGCGGCUCACUGGCCCGGUACUGACGCUGAGGCGCGAAAGCGUGGGGAGCAAACAGGAUUAGAGACCCCAGUAGUCCCUGUCUCUUAUAC